This 781-nucleotide ribosomal RNA is filed under the name uncultured bacterium. RNAcentral describes it as "bacterial SSU rRNA". It matches the Rfam family "Bacterial small subunit ribosomal RNA", at positions 8 to 828 of the family's 1533-position model. The record is from RNAcentral.
AGGGUUUGAUCAUGGCUCAGGAUGAACGCUGGCGGUAUGCUUUACACAUGCAAGUCGUACGAGAGUUUUGAACUCAAGUGGCGGACGGGUGAGUAACACGUAAGAAUUUACCUUUAGGAGGGGGACAACAACUGGAAACGGUUGCUAAUACCCCAUAUGCUUUCGAGUGAAAUGGAUUUUUCCGCCUAGAGAGAAGCUUGCGGCUGAUUAGCUUGUUGGUGAGGUAAUGGCUUACCAAGGCGACGAUCAGUAUCUGGUUUGAGAGGACGAUCAGACACACUGGAACUGAGACACGGUCCAGACUCCUACGGGAGGCAGCAGUGGGGAAUUUUCCGCAAUGGGCGAAAGCCUGACGGAGCAAUACCGCGUGAGGGAUGACGGCCUAUGGGUUGUAAACCUCUUUUUUCAGGGAGGAAUCAAAUGACGUGUACCUGAAGAAUAAGCAUCGGCUAACUCCGUGCCAGCAGCCGCGGUAAGACGGAGGAUGCAAGUGUUAUCCGGAAUCACUGGGCGUAAAGCGUCUGUAGGUGGUCAAAUAAGUCAACUGUUAAAUCUUGGGGCUCAACCUCAAAAUCGCAGUCGAAACUAUUAGACUAGAGUAUAGUAGGGGUAAAGGGAAUUUCCAGUGGAGCGGUGAAAUGCGUAGAGAUUGGAAAGAACACCGAUGGCGAAGGCACUUUACUGGGCUAUUACUAACACUCAGAGACGAAAGCUAGGGUAGCAAAUGGGAUUAGAUACCCCAGUAGUCCUAGCCGUAAACAAUGGAUACUAGAUGUUGAAC